UACAGAGGUGGCAAGCGUUGUUCGGAAUUACUGGGCGUAAAGGGCGCGUAGGCGGCCCGUCAAGUCCCGUGUGAAAGCCCCCGGCUCAACCGGGGAACGGCGCGGGAAACUAGCAGGCUUGAGUUCGGGAGAGGGAAGCGGAAUUCCGGGUGUAGCGGUGAAAUGCGCAGAUAUCCGGAGGAACACCGGUGGCGAAGGCGGCUUCCUGGACCGAGACUGACGCUGAGGCGCGAAAGCGUGGGGAGCAAACAGG
Molecule: ribosomal RNA, 253 nt
Filed under: uncultured bacterium
Lineage: Bacteria
Description: partial 16S ribosomal RNA
Rfam family: Bacterial small subunit ribosomal RNA
Source: RNAcentral